This 261-nucleotide ribosomal RNA is filed under the name uncultured archaeon. Its description in RNAcentral is "partial 16S ribosomal RNA". It matches the Rfam family "Archaeal small subunit ribosomal RNA", at positions 748 to 1009 of the family's 1478-position model. The record is from RNAcentral.
UAGCCGUAAACGAUACUCGCUAGGUGUCGGCCACGGUGCGACCGUUGUCGGUGCCGUAAGGAAGCCGUGAAGCGAGCCACCUGGGAAGUACGGCCGCAAGGCUGAAACUUAAAGGAAUUGGCGGGGGAGCACCACAACGGGUGGAGCUUGCGGUUUAAUUGGAUUCAACGCCGGAAAUCUUACCGGGACCGACAGCAACAUGAAGGCCAGGCUGAAGACUUUGCCGGAUUAGCUGAGAGGAGGUGCAUGGCGUAGUCGUGU